GAUAAACGAAGACAACGUUCAAAUCACACGACAGUUUUAUUGAUGGUAGCUAAAAAUAGGGAUCGAUUUAAAAACAAAAAAUAAAAAAGAAAGAAGAGGAAUAAAAAAAAAAAGAAAAGGAAAAAAGCAAUUUUUCCCGAUAACGUCUCACUAUAUAUUGCGCCAUUAUAUGAGAUGAAGCCUCAAAUGGUAGAGUCUCGUUUUAAUAUCCUCAACCACCAGACACGGUUAUCGUAUUAUCGUUUAGCUUUCUAAUGGAUAUCGAACAGCGAUAUGAGGAAAUUCUCAAGAGAUUUUAUGUUACUCUUUAAUGAAAGUAAAAAGCUUUUAAUUUCCGAUUAAAUAAUUAUAAAAAUGUGAAUAAUCAAUAUAUAUAAAUAUAAAAAGAAAAGAACAAAAAAAAAACUAGAUUCGUCAUAGUGAGAACGUUGUACGACGCAACCAAACGAAAUCGAUGAAUUUUCGAGGAAAAAAGUUAACGCACGCAUACAUAGAGAAACGAUUAAAGAUCGAUGUAUAGGAUCUUUUAUGAAUCAUUAUGAUAUCACAUUGGGUUAUCGAACGACUGUCAUACUACUACUAUUACUACUACUACUACUACUAAUAGUAAUAGAAGUAGUAGUAGUAGUAAACUCCACCAGUAAGUAAAGCUUAGAACGAGAAAUUAUUUAAAAGUAAAAUGGAUGCGAAACAUAACCUACAAACUUUCUACUCUUCUAUGUACAUGACCGACGCCGUUAUAGUCCUUCUAUCUGUACAUAUAUGUACAUGUAUCGUACGAUGAAUAAAAUUAUUAUUAUUAGACGACGCGAAAUAAACGUCAAAAGCAUAAAUUUGUUAUAGGAUUAAAAUAACAUGAGUCAUCUAAUCAUAAAUAAAGAACAAAAUAAUUUACAUCGGACUUGAUGAGAAAUAAAUAUGACGACUAUGACGACAAUGACGACAAUGACGACGACGACUAUAUUCACGAGAAUAUUCUACGAUACGUGAUAAAUUAUUCGAACGAACGUACUCGUAUACGCGAAACACUUUGAUAUAAGAUAUAGAGACAUAGAAAAUAAUAGGCCAAGAUCACAAACACAGCAAACGCGAUGGUUACAAUUGGUUACCUUCCUUUUGAUCAUUCGAACAACAUGGCACACGUGUAAUCACGGAAAUUUAUGUAAGUCAUUCGAUCGGGAGAAAAAAAAAAA
Long non-coding RNA from Vespa mandarinia (Asian giant hornet), 1193 nucleotides. NCBI's taxonomy places the organism in Eukaryota, Metazoa, Arthropoda, Insecta, Hymenoptera, Vespidae. The record is from RefSeq and is a predicted model, not a curated record.